CCGAAGAUGGCGACCGGCGCACGGGUGAGUAACACGUAUCCAACCUGCCGAUAACUCUGGAAUAGCCUUUCGAAAGAAAGAUUAAUACCGGAUGGCAUACGAAUAUCGCAUGAUAUUUUUAUUAAAGAAUUUCGGUUAUCGAUGGGGAUGCGUUCCAUUAGUUUGUUGGCGGGGUAACGGCCCACCAAGACAACGAUGGAUAGGGGUUCUGAGAGGAAGGUCCCCCACAUUGGAACUGAGACACGGUCCAA
RNAcentral lists this ribosomal RNA (251 nucleotides) under uncultured bacterium. Its description in RNAcentral is "partial 16S ribosomal RNA". It matches the Rfam family "Bacterial small subunit ribosomal RNA", at positions 82 to 334 of the family's 1533-position model. The record is from RNAcentral.